This 98-nucleotide microRNA precursor is filed under the name Microtus ochrogaster (prairie vole). RNAcentral describes it as "miRNA (ENSMOCG00000008927.1)". The record is from RNAcentral. Lineage: Eukaryota; Metazoa; Chordata; Mammalia; Rodentia; Cricetidae.
AAAUGCCUCCAUAAGAUCCAACUGUAAGGCAUUUUCUUAAUUAGUGAUUGAGGGCCCAGCCCGCUGUGGGUGGUGCCAUCUCUGAGCUGGUGGUCCUG